GCGUAUGCGGCGUGCUUACCAUGCAGUCGAACGGUGAAGCAGAGCUUGCUCUGUGGAUCAGUGGCGAACGGGUGAGUAACACGUGAGCAAUCUGCCCCUGACUCUGGGAUAAGCGCUGGAAACGGCGUCUAAUACCGGAUACGAGCUGCGACCGCAUGGUCAGUAGCUGGAAAGAAUUUCGGUCAGGGAUGAGCUCGCGGCCUAUCAGCUUGUUGGUGAGGUAAUGGCUCACCAAGGCGUCGACGGGUAGCCGGCCUGAGAGGGUGACCGGCCACACUGGGACUGAGACACGGCCCAGACUCCUACGGGAGGCAGCAGUGGGGAAUAUUGCACAAUGGGGCGCAAGCCUGAUGCAGCAACGCCGCGUGAGGGAUGACGGCCUUCGGGUUGUAAACCUCUUUUAGCAGGGAAGAAGCGAAAGUGACGGUACCUGCAGAAAAAGCGCCGGCUAACUACGUGCCAGCAGCCGCGGUAAUACGUAGGGCGCAAGCGUUAUCCGGAAUUAUUGGGCGUAAAGAGCUCGUAGGCGGUCUGUCGCGUCUGCUGUGAAAACCCGAGGCUCAACCUCGGGCCUGCAGUGGGUACGGGCAGACUAGAGUGCGGUAGGGGAGAUUGGAAUUCCUGGUGUAGCGGUGGAAUGCGCAGAUAUCAGGAGGAACACCGAUGGCGAAGGCAGAUCUCUGGGCCGUAACUGACGCUGAGGAGCGAAAGGGUGGGGAGCAAACAGGCUUAGAUACCCUGGUAGUCCACCCCGUAAACGUUGGGAACUAGUUGUGGGGUCCAUUCCACGGAUUCCGUGACGCAGCUAACGCAUUAAGUUCCCCGCCUGGGGAGUACGGCCGCAAGGCUAAAACUCAAAGGAAUUGACGGGGACCCGCACAAGCGGCGGAGCAUGCGGAUUAAUUCGAUGCAACGCGAAGAACCUUACCAAGGCUUGACAUAUAGAGGAAACGUCUGGAAACAGUCGCCCCGCAAGGUCUCUAUACAGGUGGUGCAUGGUUGUCGUCAGCUCGUGUCGUGAGAUGUUGGGUUAAGUCCCGCAACGAGCGCAACCCUCGUUCUAUGUUGCCAGCACGUAAUGGUGGGAACUCAUGGGAUACUGCCGGGGUCAACUCGGAGGAAGGUGGGGAUGACGUCAAAUCAUCAUGCCCCUUAUGUCUUGGGCUUCACGCAUGCUACAAUGGCCGGUACAAAGGGCUGCAAUACCGUGAGGUGGAGCGAAUCCCAAAAAGCCGGUCCCAGUUCGGAUUGAGGUCUGCAACUCGACCUCAUGAAGUCGGAGUCGCUAGUAAUCGCAGAUCAGCAACGCUGCGGUGAAUACGUUCCCGGGUCUUGUACACACCGCCCGUCAAGUCAUGAAAGUCGGUAACACCUGAAGCCGGUGGCCCAACCCUUGUGGAGGGAGCCGUCGAAGGUGAUCGAUGCGUAUUGGUCCUCUCAGAGGGGCU
Molecule: ribosomal RNA, 1448 nt
Filed under: bacterium T58
Lineage: Bacteria
Description: bacterial SSU rRNA
Rfam family: Bacterial small subunit ribosomal RNA
Source: RNAcentral